UUUUUCAUGUCAAUGGGUAUGAAAUUAUUAGCAAGGAUGCAUAUAUGUGCAUAUGUCAAGAUACAUAUUUAUCUUAAGAAUUAUCUUUAAAAAUUUCAAAAAUUUUAAUUUUGCAAAACAAAAUCUCACUCAAAAAUAAAAAUAUGUAAGUCCCAUUCCUUGAUUACAAUUCAUUAGAACUGGAGAUUUUUAAAAAUGUUUAAAUUUAUAUGGAAAUAUAAAAUCAUGUUUUAAAUAAUUUUUGAUUCAAUGAGGAAAUGUAAAUUUAGAAAUAAAGAUUAAUAACUAGAGAUUUAUAAAGGCAAAAAUGUUAAUGAAUUAGGAAACAGUAAACCAUUUUUAUGCUGUGAUUGAAUUACAGUGUGUGAUAUAUUGCUCUUAUUUGGGUAGAUUACCAUUUAACAUUUUGAAUUAAUUGGUAAUUGGAUUAAUCUUAACUUUUAAAAAAUUAAUCUGAGAGUGGUAUAAAGGAUAGAUUACAGAAUGGAUAAAGGGUGAUAAAUCAGUUGGCUAUGGCAAAAUUGCAGGAAGAAACUGAAAUAGGCCACAGAAAACUGAAACUGACAUUUUGAGUAGUAUUUCAGAAUCAAGAUCUGGAUUUUGGCAACUGAAUAGAUGCGUAGGAAUCAAAGAUGAGUAUACUAAAUGAACUUAAUCUGUGAUUUGUCUGUCAUUUUAUUGUGUACCAUUAGUGUG
RNAcentral lists this long non-coding RNA (696 nucleotides) under Pan troglodytes (chimpanzee). RNAcentral describes it as "long non-coding RNA NONPTRT001837". Lineage: Eukaryota; Metazoa; Chordata; Mammalia; Primates; Hominidae. The record is from RNAcentral.